RNAcentral lists this ribosomal RNA (450 nucleotides) under uncultured bacterium. Its description in RNAcentral is "bacterial SSU rRNA". It matches the Rfam family "Bacterial small subunit ribosomal RNA", at positions 335 to 799 of the family's 1533-position model. The record is from RNAcentral.
ACUCCUACGGGAGGCAGCAGUGGGGAAUCUUGGACAAUGGGCGCAAGCCUGAUCCAGCCAUGCCGCGUGAGUGAUGAAGGCCCUAGGGUCGUAAAGCUCUUUCGCCAGGGAUGAUAAUGACAGUACCUGGUAAAGAAACCCCGGCUAACUCCGUGCCAGCAGCCGCGGUAAUACGGAGGGGGUUAGCGUUGUUCGGAAUUACUGGGGCGUAAAGCGCGCGUAGGCGGACUGGAAAGUUGGGGGUGAAAUCCCGGGGGCUCAACCUCGGAACUGCCUCCAAAACUCCCAGUCUUGAGUUCGAGAGAGGUGAGUGGAAUUCCGAGUGUAGAGGUGAAAUUCGUAGAUAUUCGAAGGAACACCAGUGGCGAAGGCGGCUCACUGGCUCGAUACUGACGCUGAGGUGCGAAAGUGUGGGGAGCAAACAGGAUUAGAUACCCUGGUAGGAUAGCG